This is a long non-coding RNA of Syngnathoides biaculeatus (alligator pipefish), 1000 nucleotides long. RefSeq lists it as uncharacterized. NCBI's taxonomy places the organism in Eukaryota, Metazoa, Chordata, Actinopteri, Syngnathiformes, Syngnathidae. The record is from RefSeq and is a predicted model, not a curated record. The transcript is spliced from 3 exons.
GUUGCCCAGCUCAUUCGCAGAAGAAGUUGCAGUACAUUGAAAUGGAUCGUGUGUGAGAACUGUUCGCAGAUGCUAUUAAUGUGCUAUGAGUUGAACGUGUAUUCUGUGCUGUUUACAGUGCAGCUCAUUCACCUUUUUGACACUUGGAAGUAUUCUGGUGCUUUAUGUUUACACACAUUCUGAAAUGGCCAGCGCAAUCCUUGAUGCCCACUCAGCAUCCAGCCCACAGUGGACAGGCCAUGGUGGAACAGAAGGAAGCAAGAGAGAGGCAAGCGUGGAUAGCAGACAUUUGACCCUGAUGCCUUCCUCAUCCUGGCUGAGGAUAUAGCCAUGCCAACCCCAAAACUGUGUUUCCACAACUUCAUAGACAUGUUACCGUAAUUUCUUGAGUAUAAUAUGUCCUGAAGUAUAAUGUGCACCCCCAAUGUUGACAUGAAAAAAAUCAGGAAAAGCCUUCUAAAAUGUACAAUGCAGACCCCAAAGUUGCUGCUACCCAUAUGCUAAAAAUAUUGGGAAUUAUUUGUAUUCAUAUUUUGUUAGAUUUGUAUUUGUUUUUAAAAAAACUGUCUGUACAACAAUCAUUAAUCAUCAUCAUUGUGCAUGUGCUGAUGUAGCCAUAAUAUAAUCUCGGGACAGGCCCAAGGACACGCUUGUCCUGGUCCCUGUAAUUGUCAGAACAGAAUCCCUCAACCAACUAAAAUAAAUGCUCAAUGAUGGCACAACAUUUUAUUAAUACUGUUGAUAACACAUAUUACAGUCUUAAAUAAAUAUUUAACAGUUCUUCUUUUCCUGUCGGCUUUUCCCGUAAGGGGUUGCCACUGUGUGUCAUCUUUUUCCAUCUUUUUCUCCUAUAUCUUCUUCUCUAACACUAAGAGCCCUCACGUCUUCCCUCACAACAUCCAUCAACCUUCUCUUUGGUCUUCCUCUCGCUCUUUUGCCUGGAAGCUCCAUCCUCAGCACCCUUCUUUCAUUAUAUUCAUGCUCUCGCCUCUGGACAUGU